AUAUCAUGACAGACAAAUUGCCCGAAUUGAC
RNAcentral lists this small RNA (31 nucleotides) under Chaetoceros debilis. RNAcentral describes it as "partial Mitochondrion-encoded tmRNA". Lineage: Eukaryota; Bacillariophyta; Thalassiosirophyceae; Chaetocerotales; Chaetocerotaceae. The record is from RNAcentral.